This is a long non-coding RNA of Lycium barbarum (goji berry), 688 nucleotides long. RefSeq lists it as uncharacterized. The record is from RefSeq and is a predicted model, not a curated record. Lineage: Eukaryota; Viridiplantae; Streptophyta; Magnoliopsida; Solanales; Solanaceae. The transcript has 2 exons.
UGUUGUUGAUUUUGAGCGAGUUAAAUUCUCGGGAUGGCCUAUUUAUAGGGGAAAUGCUGCCGAAUUUUCUGUAGAAUUUAAUGUUAGUUGGAAUAAAUGGCUUAAGUGCCUAUGUUUAAUAUUGGAUAUUCGUUGGCAUAUUUGUAGACCUUGGGGAGCCCGAGGCGUAGAUUGGAAUUUACUUUAUAUUGGCCAUCUUGGAGUGCGUACGAGGUACAGACGCACAGUUUGGUGAUCUACCCAUUUAGGACACCCUAUUCUGCUGUUUGGAGUGCUCUUCUCAUUUCAGAGCACACAUUUUGGUAUAUAUUCGUUCGCCAUGUAUAUAUGUAUUUGUUCAGGGGCACGGCGGGGCCCUGUCCCGCCAUAUGAUUCGGUUUGUCUGUUUAGAGGUCUGUAGACGUAUUUGUGGGUGUGUGUGCCUACUUCUGUAUGGAUGUGUUUGCAUGACUCUAUUCGUUAUGGCAGCCUCGUCGGCGUGCAUUUUGUAUAUGUUUGUGGCAGCCUUGUCGGCGUGCAUUUGUAUAUGCGUUUUGGGCCGUUGUGCCAUUUGACAGCCUUGUCGGCUUUUGACAUAUUUGAUAGCCUUGCCGGCUUUUUGAUAUAUGUGCAUAUGUUCGGCGAUGUAUAUUCCGCCGCCUCUUCUGAUUCUGAUAUAAUGUUUUGUACGCGCAAUCGCGCAAGAUAA